RNAcentral lists this ribosomal RNA (484 nucleotides) under uncultured bacterium. RNAcentral's name for it is "partial 16S ribosomal RNA". It matches the Rfam family "Bacterial small subunit ribosomal RNA", at positions 29 to 523 of the family's 1533-position model. The record is from RNAcentral.
AGUGAACGCUGGCGGCGUGCUUAACACAUGCAGGUCGAACGAGAACGGCUUAUAGCUUGCUAUAAUUGUCAGCUAAGUGGCGCACGGGUGAGUAAUGUAUAGGUAAUAUGCCUCUUACUAAGGGAUAACAAAUGGAAACGUUUGCUAAUACCUUAUACUCCUUAUUAACAUAAGUUAAUAAGGGAAAGAUUUAUUGGUAAGAGAUUAGCCUGUAUUGUAUCAGUUAGUUGGUGGGGUAAUGGCUUACAAAGACUAUGACACUUAACUGAUUUGAAAGGAUGUUCAGUCAGACUGGAACCUGGACACAGACGAGACUCCUAGGGGAGGCAGCAGUGGGGAAUAUUGCACAAUGCACUAAAGUAUGAUGUAGCAACGACGCGUAGAGGAUGACACAUAUCGGUGCGUAAACUCAUUAUAGAUGAGAAGAUGAUGACGGUAGGAUAUGAAUAAGCACCGACUAACUCCGAGCCAGACGCCGCAGUAA